Small nucleolar RNA from Tachyglossus aculeatus (Australian echidna), 143 nucleotides. Lineage: Eukaryota; Metazoa; Chordata; Mammalia; Monotremata; Tachyglossidae. The record is from RefSeq and is a predicted model, not a curated record.
UUCCUCUCAGGAUCACUCCUGGAGAGUUACCAGUACUCUACCAGUCUUGGCUACAAGAGGGAGAGAGAGUCAAGCAGAGGCAUAUCCAUUCCAUUCCCUAGCUGGGGCAGUGGCUAGCGAGUGGAAGGCAAUCUGCUGCAAGU